This 423-nucleotide ribosomal RNA is filed under the name Methylobacterium radiotolerans. Its description in RNAcentral is "bacterial SSU rRNA". It matches the Rfam family "Bacterial small subunit ribosomal RNA", at positions 1022 to 1446 of the family's 1533-position model. The record is from RNAcentral. Lineage: Bacteria; Pseudomonadati; Pseudomonadota; Alphaproteobacteria; Hyphomicrobiales; Methylobacteriaceae.
GGGGGCGCGCACACAGGUGCUGCAUGGCUGUCGUCAGCUCGUGUCGUGAGAUGUUGGGUUAAGUCCCGCAACGAGCGCAACCCACGUCCUUAGUUGCCAUCAUUCAGUUGGGCACUCUAGGGAGACUGCCGGUGAUAAGCCGCGAGGAAGGUGUGGAUGACGUCAAGUCCUCAUGGCCCUUACGGGAUGGGCUACACACGUGCUACAAUGGCGGUGACAGUGGGAAGCGAAGGAGCGAUCUGGAGCAAAUCCCCAAAAGCCGUCUCAGUUCGGAUUGCACUCUGCAACUCGAGUGCAUGAAGGCGGAAUCGCUAGUAAUCGUGGAUCAGCAUGCCACGGUGAAUACGUUCCCGGGCCUUGUACACACCGCCCGUCACACCAUGGGAGUUGGUCUUACCCGACGGCGCUGCGCCAACCGCAAGG